CUUGACCUCAAAUCGAGUAGGACUACCCGCUGAACUUAAGCAUAUCAAUAAGCGGAGGAAAAGAAACUAACAAGGAUUCCCCUAGUAACGGCGAGUGAAGAGGGAAGAGCUCAAAUUUUGAAUCUGGCGUCUUUGGCGUCCGAAUUGUAAUCUAGAGAAGUGUUUUCCGUGACGGACCGUGCAUAAGUCUCCUGGAAUGGAGUGUCAUAGAGGGUGAGAAUCCCGUAUAUGGCACGGACUCCCGUUGCUCUGUGAUACACUCUCGACGAGUCGAGUUGUUUGGGAAUACAGCUCUAAAUGGGUGGUAAAUGCCAUCUAAAGCUAAAUAUUGGCGAGAGACCGAUAGCGAACAAGUACCGUGAGGGAAAGAUGAAAAGCACUUUGGAAAGAGAGUGAAACAGUACGUGAAAUUGUUGAAAGGGAAACGCUUGAAGUCAGUCGCGCCGUUCGGGAUUCAGCCUUGCUUCUGCUCGGUUUACUUCCCGUUGGGUGGGUCAACAUCAGUUUCGGUCGGAGGAGAAAGGCUUGGGGAAGGUGGCAGCAUUCGUGCUGUGUUAUAGCCCCUUGUUGUAUACUUCGACUGGGACUGAGGACCGCAGCACGCCUUUGGCCGGGGUUCGCCCACGUACGUGCUUAGGAUGUUGGCAUAAUGGCUUUAAGCGACCCGUCUUGAAACACGGAC
RNAcentral lists this ribosomal RNA (682 nucleotides) under uncultured endomycorrhiza of Neottia nidus-avis. RNAcentral's name for it is "eukaryotic LSU rRNA". It matches the Rfam family "Eukaryotic large subunit ribosomal RNA", at positions 1 to 666 of the family's 3401-position model. Lineage: Eukaryota; Fungi; Basidiomycota; Agaricomycetes; Sebacinales; Sebacinaceae. The record is from RNAcentral.